This 72-nucleotide transfer RNA is filed under the name Hypoxylon fuscum. RNAcentral describes it as "tRNA-Met". It matches the Rfam family "tRNA". From Rfam's summary of the family: Transfer RNA (tRNA) molecules are approximately 80 nucleotides in length. The record is from RNAcentral. Lineage: Eukaryota; Fungi; Ascomycota; Sordariomycetes; Xylariales; Hypoxylaceae.
GGCUUCAUGGCGCAGUGGAAGCGUGCCGGGCUCAUAACCCGGAGGUCCCCCGAUCGAAACGGGGUGAAGCCA